GACGAACGCUGGCGGCGUGCUUAACACAUGCAAGUCGAACGGAAAGGCCCUGCUUGCAGGGUACUCGAGUGGCGAACGGGUGAGUAACACGUGGGUGAUCUGCCCUGCGCUUCGGGAUAAGCCUGGGAAACUGGGUCUAAUACCGGAUAGGAGCCAUUUUUAGUGUGAUGGUUGGAAAGUUUUUUCGGUGUAGGAUGAGCUCGCGGCCUAUCAGCUUGUUGGUGGGGUAAUGGCCUACCAAGGCGGCGACGGGUAGCCGGCCUGAGAGGGUGGACGGCCACAUUGGGACUGAGAUACGGCCCAGACUCCUACGGGAGGCAGCAGUGGGGAAUAUUGCACAAUGGGCGCAAGCCUGAUGCAGCGACGCCGCGUGGGGGAUGACGGCCUUCGGGUUGUAAACUCCUUUCGCUAGGGACGAAGCUUUUUGUGACGGUACCUAGAUAAGAAGCACCGGCUAACUACGU
This 464-nucleotide ribosomal RNA is filed under the name uncultured bacterium. Its description in RNAcentral is "partial 16S ribosomal RNA". It matches the Rfam family "Bacterial small subunit ribosomal RNA", at positions 28 to 506 of the family's 1533-position model. The record is from RNAcentral.